Molecule: ribosomal RNA, 597 nt
Filed under: Pomacentrus milleri
Lineage: Eukaryota; Metazoa; Chordata; Actinopteri; Pomacentridae
Description: partial small subunit ribosomal RNA
Rfam family: Bacterial small subunit ribosomal RNA
Source: RNAcentral
ACCGCGGUUAUACGAGAGGCUCAAGUUGACAGACAACGGCGUAAAGAGUGGUUAGGGAAACUUUUAAAACUAAAGCCGAACGUCCUCAAAGCUGUUUAACGCUUUCGAGUUAAGAAGGUCUUUAACGAAAGUAGCUUUACCAAACCUGACCCCACGAAAGCUGUGAAACAAACUGGGAUUAGAUACCCCACUAUGCUCAGCCCUAAAAUUCGAUAGGUCACUACGCCCCCUAUCCGCCAGGGUACUACGAGCAUCAGCUUGAAACCCAAAGGACUUGGCGGUGCUUCACAUCCGUCUAGAGGAGCCUGUUCUAUAACCGAUAACCCCCGUUAAACCUCACCCUCCCUUGUUAAUCCCGCCUAUAUACCGCCGUCGUCAGCCUACCCUGUGAAGGACUAGAAGUGAGCAAGAUUGGUAAAACCCAAAACGUCAGGUCGAGGUGUAGCGUAUGAGAGGGGAAGAGAUGGGCUACAUUUCCUAAACCAGGAAAUACGAACAAUGAACUGAAAUAAGCAUUAGAAGGUGGAUUUAGCAGUAAGCAGACAAACAGAGUGUUCUGCUGAAGUUUAGGCAAUAAAGCACGUACACACCGCCCGU